AGCAUACGAACGUUUACGAAGAAUGUUCUUAAGGCCUACCCUGCCAAUGAUGCCAAACGCCAAUACAGGAUUUGGUGAUCAACCACUCAUUCAGAUGGUGGGAACAAAUCAAUAUAGGGUACAAAUUAAUAUUUCAAAUACAGUUCAGCUGCAACCAGCUAACCGAAGAAGGAGAAGAAUUUCCAUGCCUCUACCACCAUCUGUAGUUGAACAAUUACCAAUAAAUCAAGAAGUGCAACAAAAUGACAAUGAGGUAGAGGAACCAGGGCCUUCGCAAAUUCAGAGAGAGACGGAGGAAUAGAUUGAAAAGGUUCUUUUACCUGAGUGGAAAGAAAAAAGUUUAAUGACAGUUUCAGUUACUUUGGUACUCCUUUUUGGUAUUCUUUAUCUAAGGUUAUCACUGUUAAUUUUAUAGCUUUGUGACUUUAUGCAGUAUGUUUUCUUGUUCUUGUUAGUAAGUUUGGUUGUUAGGUGUCUUUAAUACAGUAUUCUAUGGAACUAAAUAGUGAGUUAGAAAAUUCAACAAUAAUGACUAAAAGUUGCUGAUGAAGUUUGGAGCCAUGUUGGAGACAGUGACUACUACCCAGCAGGAAGGUCCUCAGCUUGAGGAGCCUCCUGUUACACUGCCAGAUGCUCCUCCUACCCCACCAUCUUCUCUAGAGGAGGUCUCCGAACAGGUUGUUGAGUCAAAUGGAGUGUUGGAGGAGGAAACACUGGAGCCUACGUCUGAGACCCAACUGUGCCAGCCAGAUCCAGCCUUGGAGUCCCCCUUUGCACAGCUUGAGGAGCUGGUAGUACCUUGUGGGCUAGCAGUGGUGGACAAGCUGGAAGCUGAGGCUGAAGAACUUGAGGAGCAUCCUGAGUCAGAUGUCAGUCCCAUCUCUG
Molecule: long non-coding RNA, 885 nt
Organism: Sceloporus undulatus (fence lizard)
Lineage: Eukaryota; Metazoa; Chordata; Lepidosauria; Squamata; Phrynosomatidae
Exons: 3
Source: RefSeq, a predicted model, not a curated record